GUGGCGGACGGGUGAGUAAUGCUUGGGAAUCUGGCUUAUGGAGGGGGAUAACUACGGGAAACUGUAGCUAAUACCGCGUAGUGUCGAGAGACGAAAGGGUGGGACCUUCGGGCCACCUGCCAUAAGAUGAGCCCAAGUGGGAUUAGGUAGUUGGUGGGGUAAAGGCCUACCAAGCCGACGAUCUCUAGCUGGUCUGAGAGGAUGACCAGCCACACUGGAACUGAGACACGGUCCAGACUCCUACGGGAGGCAGCAGUGGGGAAUAUUGCACAAUGGGGGGAACCCUGAUGCAGCCAUGCCGCGUGAAUGAAGAAGGCCUUCGGGUUGUAAAGUUCUUUCGGUGAUGAGGAAGGUGUUUGUUUUAAUAGAACAAGCAAUUGACGUUAGUCACAGAAGAAGCACCGGCUAACUCCGUGCCAGCAGCCGCGGUAAUACGGAGGGUGCGAGCGUUAAUCGGAAUGACUGGGCGUAAAGGGCACGCAGGCGGUGACUUAAGUGAGAUGUGAAAGCCCCGAGCUUAACUUGGGAAUUGCAUUUCAUACUGGGUCGCUAGAGUAUUUUAGGGAGGGGUAGAAUUCCACGUGUAGCGGUGAAAUGCGUAGAGAUGUGGAGGAAUACCGAAGGCGAAGGCAGCCCCUUGGGAAUAUACUGACGCUCAUGUG
RNAcentral lists this ribosomal RNA (662 nucleotides) under uncultured Actinobacillus sp. Its description in RNAcentral is "bacterial SSU rRNA". It matches the Rfam family "Bacterial small subunit ribosomal RNA", at positions 95 to 753 of the family's 1533-position model. The record is from RNAcentral. Lineage: Bacteria; Pseudomonadati; Pseudomonadota; Gammaproteobacteria; Pasteurellales; Pasteurellaceae.